This 1553-nucleotide unclassified non-coding RNA is filed under the name Zea mays. RNAcentral's name for it is "misc RNA Zm00001eb134580". Lineage: Eukaryota; Viridiplantae; Streptophyta; Magnoliopsida; Poales; Poaceae. The record is from RNAcentral.
CAGCCCAGGGCCGCGGGCUACAGCCGUUCCUUCUCCCUGCUCCUCUACCCUUGCUUCUUCCACGCCGUGCUGCUUUAGCUCGGGGAUAAAAUCCCGUCGCGCGCAGCCUCUGCUCACCGUGGCUGGUGCGCUCAUUUCCGUCGAGCUCCUUCUCUGCCAUGGCCGCCGUCAGUUCCUCCCUGCCCAGCUCCCAGCACCGCGCUCCCUCAGCUCGCGGAGCUUCUCCUCGCCCCGCUCGGCCUCUGUUUCUCCCUGCUCCCGCACAGCCGCGCGCUCUGCUUACCAUCGCAAGCUCGCCACACCCCUGGACGCCUGCUUCUUGUCUGCUCGGCGCCCCUGCGCUUGCUCGCUUGGAUCUCCCUUGCCAUGGCCGUACGCUGCCGAGCUCCAAGCUCCAACUCGGAUCUUUCUCCCUCGUCUUCCUUCACACGAGCUCGCACCAGCCUCUGCUUCCUGCUCGCCAUGGCGCUUGGCAUCCAGCUUUCUGCGCACCGGCUCCUUGCUCCAGCUCCCACGCGCGUCCGAGCUCGCCCCGGCUCCAGCUUCUCCCAUGGCCGGCGAUACUCCAGUCCUCUGCGCAGCGCGCACGCUUAGCUUGCCUCUCUUGCGCGCAGUCCUCUGUUCCUGCGUGCCACAGUCGCCCAGCUUUGUUGCCGCGCCCAGCCGUUCUCAGCUGCUCACCGUGGCCGGCUCCUGCUUGGCCACCAUCUCCCAUGGCGAUGGCCGCCGAGCUCCCUUGUCGUGGCUGUCACGUCCCUGCGCCCAGCCUUUAGCUCAAUCCGUAUGCACGCGAGCUAACUGGUGUGCUGCUGUUCUAGUUCGGAUCUCGCCCAUGGUGUCGAUCGGCUAUUGGUUUCGCCGGUUGUCGAUUUUCCUAUUCGCUAUGGUCAUCACGUCAGCCGUCCCUAUCCGAACUUGCGAGCUCGCCGACUGACCGUCGUGUUCCUUGAAAUCUCUCGUCGGUCGACCUCGCGACUUAGUUCGUCCGUCGUGCUGGUCGCUGUCCCAUACUGUACCUAUUAGCUCGGAUCCUGCCCAGCUCGUCGUCGUAUCGUUUACCGUCGAGUCGUCGAACCCGUCAUCCUCUGCUCAAACCCCACCUCACCAGCUCGCUUCAAACACGAUCUCGUCGUCAAGCUUUGCCUCAGCCUUAGCUCGUCGGUCACGCUCGCCAGAUGUCCGAUCGAAGAUUUUAUUCGGAGACUGUUGACACUCUCGCAAGCUUUAAGUCGGAAUUAAUGGACGGUACGAUAAUUGAUCGCGUGAUGCGGAAGACGAGCCAAGUCGACCCCAAACACGGGCUAAUCCACAAGAUGGUACUGAUGAACGAAACUGAAGAUGGACAGACGGAGCAAGUAUCAGAACAAAAGAUGAUCGUCAAGUGGACGUCGUCUAACAAACACUAACUUAGUGUUUAUCCCAGGCAAGCCCCGGUGCAUGCAACCCCUUUCCUUGUGUUUUUAAAUACUUUUCGCACACUUAAGUCUAGUGAAAUGAGCAUUAGGUUCAUAGGAGUUGCUUGGAACCCUUUGAUGCAUUGCUUUCCUUGAUAU